UUAAGGGUGCAGGGCGGAUGCCUUGGCACUAGGAGCCGAUGAAGGACGUGAUAAGCUGCGAUAAGCUUCGGGGAGUUGCACGUAAACUUUGAUCCGAAGAUUUCCGAAUGAGGAAACUCACUUAGAGUAAUGUCUAAGUAUCAUUAAGUGAAUACAUAGCUUAAUGAGGGGAACUCAGGGAACUGAAACAUCUAAGUACCUGAAGGAAGAGAAAGAAAUUCGAUUCCGUAAGUAGCGGCGAGCGAACGCGGAUUAGCCCAAACCAAUAAAGUUUUCUUUAUUGGGGUUGCGGACAUAUCAUAACGAAGAGGUAUCGUAAUUGAAGAGGUUUGGAAAGACCCACCACAGAAGGUAAUAGUCCUGUAUGUUAAACGAGAAGACUUCAGAUAUGAUCCAGAGUACCACGGGACACGUGAAACCCUGUGGGAAGCAGGAGGGACCACCCUCCAAGGCUAAAUACUACCUAGUGACCGAUAGCGUAUAGUACCGUGAGGGAAAGGUGAAAAGAACCCCGGGAGGGGAGUGAAAUAGAACCUGAAACCCUGCACUUACAAGCUGUGGAAGCACAUUUCUUGUGUGACCGCGUACUUUUUGUAGAACGGGCCAACGAGUUACGUUAAGUAGCAAGGUUAAGCACUUAAGGUGUGGAGCCGUAGCGAAAGCGAGUUUUAACUGAGCGUUCAGUUACUUGACGUAGACCCGAAACCGGGCGACCUACCCAUGAGCAGGAUGAAGCGAAAGUAAAAUUUCGUGGAGGUCCGAACCCACGAGCGUUGAAAAGCUCGGGGAUGACUUGUGGGUAGCGGUGAAAUUCCAAUCGAGCCCGGAGAUAGCUGGUUCUCCCCGAAAUAGCUUUAGGGCUAGCCUCAAGGUGAGAGAUACGGAGGUAGAGCACUGAAUGUCCUAGGGGGUAUUGCACCUACCGAAGACUAUCAAACUCCGAAUGCCGUCAUCUUAUACUUGGGAGUCAGACUGUGGGUGAUAAGAUUCAUAGUCGAAAGGGCAACAGCCCAGAUCGUCAGCUAAGGUCCCUAAAUGUAAGUUAAGUGGUAAAGGAUGUGGGAUUGCACAGACAACCAGGAUGUUGGCUUAGAAGCAGCCACUCAUUCAAAGAGUGCGUAAUAGCUCACUGGUCGAGUGAUCCUGCGCCGAAGAUUUCCGGGGCUAAAACUUACUACCGAAGCUACGGCAUCAGUAAUGAUGGGUAGGGGAGCUUCCCAUACGGGUUGAAGCAUGACCGUAAGGACAUGUGGACAGUAUGGGAGUGAGAAUGUUGGCAUGAGUAGCGAGAUGUGGGUGAGAAUCCCACAGGCCGUAAACCCAAGGUUUCCAGGGGAAGGUUCGUCCGCCCUGGGUUAGUCGGGACCUAAGCUGAGGCCGAAAGGCGUAGGUGAUGGACAACAGGUUGAUAUUCCUGUACUACCGAUAACCGUUUGAGAGAAGGGAUGACACAGUAGGAUAAGCUAAGCACACUGUUGGUUAUGUGUGCCCAAGCAUUGAGGCAGUCAAAGUAGGCAAAUCCGCUUUGAUAAUGCUGGGAUGUGAUGGGGAGCGAAAUUUAGUAGCGAAGUAGCUGAUUUCACACUGUCAAGAAAAGUCUCUAUCGAGGUUAAAGGUACCCGUACCGCAAACCGACACAGGUGGGUGAGGAGAGUAUCCUAAGGCCAGCGAGAGAACUGUUGUUAAGGAACUCGGCAAAAUGACCCCGUAACUUAGGGAUAAGGGGUGCCACCAUCAGGUGGCCGCAGAGAAUAGGCCCAAGCGACUGUUUACCAAAAACAUAGGUUUCUGCUAAGUCGCAAGACGAUGUAUAGGAGCUGACGCCUGCCCGGUGCUGGAAGGUUAAGGGGAUCUGUUAGAGCAAUCGAAGCAGUGAACUUAAGCCCCAGUAAACGGCGGCCGUAACUAUAACGGUCCUAAGGUAGCGAAAUUCCUUGUCGGGUAAGUUCCGACCCGCACGAAAGGCGUAACGAUUUGGGCACUGUCUCAACAACAGACUCGGUGAAAUUGUAAUUCCGGUGAAGAUGCCGGAUACCUGCGACAGGACGGAAAGACCCCAUGGAGCUUUACUGUAGCUUGACAUUGGGUCUUGGUACUACAUGUACAGGAUAGGUGGGAGGCUUUGAAACCAGGACGCCAGUUUUGGCGGAGCCAUCCUUGGGAUACCACCCUUGUAGUACUGGGACUCUAACCAUAGGCCAUGAAUCUGGUCUUGGGACACUGUCAGGUGGGCAGUUUGACUGGGGCGGUCGCCUCCCAAAAGGUAACGGAGGCGCUCAAAGGUUCUCUCAGUACGGUCGGAAAUCGUACGUAGAGUGUAAAGGCAAAAGAGAGCUUGAUUGCAAGACAUACAGGUCGAGCAAGGAUGAAAAUCGGACUUAGUGAUCCGGUGGUUCUGCGUGGAAGGGCCAUCGCUCAACGGAUAAAAGCUACCCUGGGGAUAACAGGCUUAUCUCCCCCAAGAGUCCACAUCGACGGGGAGGUUUGGCACCUCGAUGUCGGCUCAUCACAUCCUGGGGCUGUAGUAGGUCCCAAGGGUUGGGCUGUUCGCCCAUUAAAGUGGUACGCGAGCUGGGUUCAGAACGUCGUGAGACAGUUCGGUCCCUAUCCGUCGCAGGCGUAGGAAAUUUGAGAAGACCUGUCCUUAGUACGAGAGGACCGGGAUGGACGUACCUCUGGUGUACCAGUUGUUCUGCCAAGGGCAUGGCUGGGUAGCUAUGUACGGAAUGGAUAAGCGCUGAAAGCAUCUAAGCGCGAAGCCAACUUCAAGAUAAGAUUUCCCACCGCAAGGGUAAGACCCCAGAAAGACUAUCUGGUUGAUAGGUCGAAGGUGUAAGUGCAGCAAUGUAUUUAGCUUAUCGAUACUAAUAGGUCGAGGACUUGACC
RNAcentral lists this ribosomal RNA (2886 nucleotides) under Clostridioides difficile. RNAcentral's name for it is "bacterial LSU rRNA". It matches the Rfam family "Bacterial large subunit ribosomal RNA". Lineage: Bacteria; Bacillati; Bacillota; Clostridia; Peptostreptococcales; Peptostreptococcaceae. RNAcentral also lists the same sequence under 1 other name. The record is from RNAcentral.